CCAUCUAACAAGCCAACCAGCUAGGAUCUUUUUUAUUGAUGUCUAUCGAGCCUUACAAACGAGAUUUCUCAAUCUAAUUCCUGAAGCCAAAAAAAAAAAAAAGCCACCGGCACAAACCAGAGCAGCAGGCGGGCUGGAUCGAACGCUUUUUUUCUCUUAUAAAUGAAUCGUCCCAGCAAAGCAGACCUCGAAAGAGACCGGCAACAGUACAGACGACAUGACAUUAUUUACAAGAUUUAUUGACGAGAUCCCACCCACAGAAAGAAGUGAACCGAAUGCCUUGUGUUAUGAGCCGCUCACUUCUAAUAUUGAAUAGAAUCGACGAAUAUAUGCGUAGUAGAGUUGAUGCGAAGGUGGCCUGAAGGUUUUCCUCAUAGGAUUCCAACCUAAAUCACAAAACAAGGGCUCUCUUCCCCGGGAAAGGGAGGCGCUAUUAACA
This 439-nucleotide long non-coding RNA is filed under the name Durio zibethinus. RNAcentral describes it as "long non-coding RNA (DZIB_LNC000173)". The record is from RNAcentral. Lineage: Eukaryota; Viridiplantae; Streptophyta; Magnoliopsida; Malvales; Malvaceae.